Molecule: transfer RNA, 72 nt
Filed under: Camelus bactrianus (Bactrian camel)
Lineage: Eukaryota; Metazoa; Chordata; Mammalia; Artiodactyla; Camelidae
Also listed under: 2 other names
Rfam family: tRNA
About the family: Transfer RNA (tRNA) molecules are approximately 80 nucleotides in length. Their secondary structure includes four short double-helical elements and three loops (D, anti-codon, and T loops).
Source: Rfam by way of RNAcentral
GAGGGUAUAGAUCAGUGGUAGACAGCCUGCUUAGCAUGCAUGAGGUCCUGGGUUCAAACCCCAGUACCUUCA